RNAcentral lists this unclassified non-coding RNA (381 nucleotides) under uncultured Rickettsiaceae bacterium. RNAcentral's name for it is "contains 16S-23S intergenic spacer region". The record is from RNAcentral. Lineage: Bacteria; Pseudomonadati; Pseudomonadota; Alphaproteobacteria; Rickettsiales; Rickettsiaceae.
UCCGGCUUAUCACCGGCAGUUUCCUUAUAGUUCCCGGCAUUACCCGCUGGCAAAUAAGAAUGAGGGUUGCGCUCGUUGCGGGACUUAACCCAACAUCUCACGACACGAGCUGACGACAGCCAUGCAACACCUGUGUGUGGUCCGGCCGAACCGAAGGGAAUCAUCUCUGUUUCCCGCGACCACCAUGUCAAGGGUUGGUAAGGUUUUUCGCGUAGCAUCGAAUUAAACCGCAUGCUCCACCGCUUGUGCGAGCCCCCGUCAAUUCCUUUGAGUUUUAACCUUGCGGCCGUACUCCCCAGGCGGAGUGCUUAAUGCGUUAGCUGCGAAACCGAAAGAUAAAUCUCCCGACAUCUAGCACUCAUCGUUUACAGCGUGGACUAC